GAGCCGGACAAACACUCGGAUAUGGAGAUGCCGCCAUUGGGGUCGCAUAUGCACCCCAUUGAGAUUUCUAGUGGUUCUGCUUCUUACGCAGGAUCACCUUACUAAAGUCCUAACGAAUGGGACCAAUAUUGGAACCAGUUCACAUUCGUGAAAAUCCCCUCCCAACCAACAAAAUCAUAUUCCCGCCAAGGAUUAACUGUUUAUUUGAAUAAUUUGUACAUUUAGAUCUCUAAUAAUUAAUUUUUUAUUUAAUAGUGAUAUUUGUUUUUUUUUCUUUUGAGCUUUCUGAACACGCUCUCGUCAACCUGACCCAGUUGUUCAGAACGCGUAUAAACUUGAACUAGUUUGAUUUUUUUUAAAUAACCCGUUUUAACGUGAGAGCAUUUUACUCAUAACGCGUGUUUACUCGAACUUAUUUUGAUGACAACACUAUUAAAUUAAAAGAAAAAGUUUAAAUUUCAUUUAUGAAUUACAAAAUUGACUAAGUUGGGUCAAGAUAAAAAUUCGAUUGUGAUAUAAUAAUAUUACACGUUCAGUUAUUGAUUAUGCAUUUAACCCCCCCCCCCCCACACACAACACACACAAACGGUUACUUCAAUUAUAUAUGGCACAAAGUUGUUUCCCGCCUUUUUACAAUUGACAAACUCCACUCCAUUCGGGUAUAAAAUUUGUUAAACAAAUUUCUUCACUCAUAUCAUCACAUUUCAGAUUUUGCGAUCUUGAUUUGUAAUCAUCAUUGUUAGGAAUUUCAUCAUAGGUAAUUGAAGUACUGUGAUUCUGAUUUCCGAUAGGAAUUUCAUCGUAGAUAAAAAUGGACAAAGGGAAAAACAAGGCAGAUACAAGCGAAACCUAAACCAACAAGGGGAAACAUACAAAGUCAGCCGUGAAGGCGCUUAAGGUCAAAGGAGAAGCACUAUCUGGGGUGGACUCGGGAUCAUCGGAGGUCCCCGGUGUAGAAGCUAGGGUGGCGGUGGCGACACCACCCCCGAAGAAGAAGAAACGGGGUGCGGCAACGAGAUUUCUUAUCGAUGACGAGGCGUCUAACCCCUCCCCGAAGAAGGGACCCUCCCCGAGAAAGAAAAAAGGGGGCGGGGGCGAAGAUCUCGAUGGGGGCAUAGAUGAAGCGGAGGAAACUGAUUCUGUAUGUUAAAAAAUCAAAAGGACAAAAAAAGAUGAUCAUGAUGGUGGGAGUUCCAAACAGCUUUCAAUCAAGUAGCAGGUUAUACACUAGUGAUGGAGCUGGUUGAGUGCAUCGCCAACUUUGUAAGUACGGUUCUUAGUUUUGUGCAAACCAAUCUUGGUGUGAAAGACAUUUGAAAGCUGGAAUAAUAAACUGUGAACAAGAGUUGUUUAGGCAUUUAGUUCAUUCUGUUAUCAUAUAUUUUCUUUGACCGAAAUGGUGAUUACACCUUUUUAUGACCUAUGAUUCCUACA
Long non-coding RNA from Helianthus annuus (common sunflower), 1434 nucleotides. RefSeq lists it as uncharacterized. The record is from RefSeq and is a predicted model, not a curated record. The transcript has 3 exons. Lineage: Eukaryota; Viridiplantae; Streptophyta; Magnoliopsida; Asterales; Asteraceae.